CCAAGGAGUGCAACAUGCGUGCGAGUCUUGGGGUGGAAAACCCGUCGGCGCAAUGAAGGUGAAGGCAGGCAUUGGUCUGCCCAGGCGAGAGCUUCCUCGGAGGCGCAUCGUCGACCGAUCCCAGGCUACGCUGUGGCGGGAUUUGAGUAAGAGCGUGCCUGUUGCGACCCGAAAGAUGGUGAACUAUGCCUGAAUAGGGUGAAGCCAGAGGAAACUCUGGUGGAAGCUCGUAGCGAUUCUGACGUGCAAAUCGAUCGUCAAAUUUGGGUAUAGGGGCGAAAGACUAAUCGAACCAUCUA
Molecule: ribosomal RNA, 299 nt
Filed under: Cliona nigricans
Lineage: Eukaryota; Metazoa; Porifera; Demospongiae; Clionaida; Clionaidae
Description: partial 28S ribosomal RNA
Rfam family: Eukaryotic large subunit ribosomal RNA
Source: RNAcentral